RNAcentral lists this ribosomal RNA (477 nucleotides) under uncultured bacterium. RNAcentral describes it as "bacterial SSU rRNA". It matches the Rfam family "Bacterial small subunit ribosomal RNA", at positions 28 to 504 of the family's 1533-position model. The record is from RNAcentral.
GACGAACGCUGGCGGCGUGCCUAACACAUGCAAGUCAACUUGACUGAAGGAGCAAUCUGACAGUAGAGUGGCGCAAGGGUGCGUAACGCGUAAGUAACUUGCCCAAGGUAAGGAAUAACGUCGAGAAAUCGGCGCUAAUACCUCAUAAUGCAGCGGAUCCGCAUGGAUAUGUUGUUAAAGGUUUACCGCCUUGGGAUAGGCUUGCGUCUGAUUAGCUAGUUGGUGUGGUAACAGCACACCAAGGCUACGAUCAGUAACUGGUCUGAGAGGAUGAUCAGUCACACUGGAACUGAGACACGGUCCAGACUCCUACGGGAGGCAGCAGUGAGGAAUAUUGGGCAAUGCUCGAAAGAGUGACCCAGCAACGCCGCGUGGAGGAUGAAGGUAUUCUAUAUCGUAAACUCCUGUGAGAGCAGACGAAAGACAGAUUAUUAAUCUGGAUGACUGUAUGCUCAGAGGAACGCCCCGGCUAACUAC